RNAcentral lists this ribosomal RNA (465 nucleotides) under uncultured bacterium. RNAcentral's name for it is "partial 16S ribosomal RNA". It matches the Rfam family "Bacterial small subunit ribosomal RNA", at positions 28 to 507 of the family's 1533-position model. The record is from RNAcentral.
GACGAACGCUGGCGGCGUGCUUAACACAUGCAAGUCGAGCGAGGCCCCUCCUUCGGGAGGGUGUCCUAGCGGCGAACGGGUGAGUAACACGUGGGCAACCUGCCCUCAGCUCUGGGAUAACUCCGGGAAACCGGGGCUAAUACCGGAUACGACCUCCACGGGCAUCUGCGGAGGUGGAAAGUUUUUCGGCUGAGGAUGGGCCCGCGGCCUAUCAGCUAGUUGGUGGGGUAGUGGCCCACCAAGGCGACGACGGGUAGCCGGCCUGAGAGGGCGACCGGCCCAACCGGGACUGGGGACAGGCCCCGACCCCCACCGGAGGCAGGAGGGGGGAAUAUUGGGGAAUGGGGCGAAGGCUGACGCAGGGGCGCCCGCGGGGGGAAGAAGGGCUUUGGGGUGGAAACCUCCUUCAGCAGGGACGAAGCGAAAGUGACGGUACCUGCAGAAGAAGCACCGGCCAACUACGUG